RNAcentral lists this ribosomal RNA (656 nucleotides) under uncultured bacterium. Its description in RNAcentral is "bacterial SSU rRNA". It matches the Rfam family "Bacterial small subunit ribosomal RNA", at positions 110 to 753 of the family's 1533-position model. The record is from RNAcentral.
GUAACACGUGGGCAACCUGCCCUGCAGAUCGGGAUAACUCCGGGAAACCGGUGCUAAUACCGAAUAGUUUGCGGCCUCUCAUGAGGCUGCACGGAAAGACGGUUUCGGCUGUCACUGCAGGAUGGGCCCGCGGCGCAUUAGCUAGUUGGUGAGGUAACGGCUCACCAAGGCCACGAUGCGUAGCCGACCUGAGAGGGUGAUCGGCCACACUGGGACUGAGACACGGCCCAGACUCCUACGGGAGGCAGCAGUAGGGAAUCUUCCGCAAUGGACGAAAGUCUGACGGAGCAACGCCGCGUGAGUGAAGAAGGUUUUCGGAUCGUAAAACUCUGUUGUGAGGGAAGAACAAGUACCAAGUAACUACUGGUACCUUGACGGUACCUCACCAGAAAGCCACGGCUAACUACGUGCCAGCAGCCGCGGUAAUACGUAGGUGGCAAGCGUUGUCCGGAAUUAUUGGGCGUAAAGCGCGCGCAGGCGGUCCUUUAAGUCUGAUGUGAAAGCCCACGGCUCAACCGUGGAGGGUCAUUGGAAACUGGGGGACUUGAGUGCAGAAGAGGAAAGUGGAAUUCCACGUGUAGCGGUGAAAUGCGUAGAGAUGUGGAGGAACACCAGUGGCGAAGGCGACUUUCUGGUCUGUAACUGACGCUGAGGCG